GGACCGCCUCCUCAGUUGUUGCCGGGCAACAGAGGAAGCUUCAGUUUUGCCAUAGGUCCAGCUUUGCUAAAGAGCUUGCUAGCCGAUUUCUGUAGCGUCACCUACUUCAUUUCGAACGAAGCAAUGGAGGUGGCGAUGGACCCUUUGUUUCUGGCGUGGAGCUAUUUCAGGCGGAGGAAACUCCAACAAUGUUCAGAUAUUUGUACAAAAAUAUUACAAGACAACCCAUACGACCAGGCUGCCUGGAGCUUGAAAACCCGUGCUCUUACAGAGAUGGUAUACAUAGAUGAAGUUGAGGUGGACCAAGAGGGGAUUGCUGAGAUGAUGCUGGAUGAGAGCUUUAUUGCUCAAGUUGCACGCCCUGGAACAUCACUGAGACUCCCUGGAACAAGUCAGGGUGGAGGUCCCUCACCGGCUGUCAGGCCUAUGACACAAUCAGGACGUCCUAUCACAGGAUUUGUGAGACCCAGCACACAGUCAGGGCGUCCUGGGACAAUGGAGCAGGCCAUCAAAACCCCCCGUACUGCAAGCACUGCUCGUCCUGUCACUAGUGCUUCUGGUAGAUUCACCCGUCUGGGAACAGCUUCAAUGUUAACCAACCCAGAUGGACCAUUUAUAAACUUGUCAAGAUUAAAUCUUGCCAAGUAUUCGCAAAAACCUAAUUUAUCCAGGACACUGUUUGAGUACAUCUUCCACCAUGAAAAUGAUGUGAAAAAUGUAAGUGUUGCAUUAUAUUUACAGCAAAAAGAAUUGGUUAACAUUACACUACAAGAUUUUGACUGUUGCAACAAAAAUGUAUUGUUUCACCAGGCUCUAGAUUUGGCUGCUCAGGCUACUGAACAUGCCCAGUUCAGAGACUGGUGGUGGAAGGUUCAGCUGGGAAAAUGUUACUACAGGCUUGGUUUAUAUCGAGAAGCAGAAAAACAGUUUCAAUCAGCUCUCAACCACCAAGAGGUGGUGGAUACAUAUCUCUACCUUGCAAAGGUUUAUCAACGUUUGGAUCAACCAGUAACAGCACUGAACCUUUUCAAGCAAGGCCUGGACCACUUCCCUGGUGAGGUCACACUUCUAACAGGAAUCGCCCGCAUACAUGAGGAGAUGAACAACAUUUCAUCAGCCACAGAGUACUACAAAGAUGUGCUGAAGCAAGACAACACCCAUGUGGAGGCUAUUGCCUGUAUAGGCAGCAGUCACUUCUACACUGAUCAGCCUGAGAUCGCCCUGCGUUUCUACAGACGACUGCUCCAAAUGGGGGUGUAUAAUUGCCAGCUGUAUAACAACCUCGGGCUGUGCUGCUUCUAUGCCCAGCAGUAUGACAUGACUCUGUCUUCAUUUGAGAGGGCUCUGGCCCUGGUAGCCAAUGAUGAAGAGCAGGCCGAUGUCUGGUACAACAUAGGGCAUGUGGCUGUGGGCAUAGGAGAAUUGACACUGGCCUACCAGUGUUUUAAACUGGCUUUGGCUUUCAAUAAUGACCAUGCUGAGGCCUACAACAACUUGGCUGUGCUGGAGCUGCGCAAAGGUCGCAUUGAGCAGUCUAAAGCCUACCUGCAGACUGCUGCAUCACUGUGCCCUCACAUGUAUGAGCCACACUUCAACCUCUCCAUUCUCUGUGAAACGAUUGGAGACCUUCAGAGCAGCUACACUGCGGCCCAAAAGUCUGAGGACGCCUUUCCCGAGCAUGUUGACACUCAACAGCUCCUUAAGCAGCUUCGGCAGCAUUUUGCGGUGCUGUGAGCGUCUGGACGGUGCACUCAGUGGAGAGGGGUUUCAGUUUGAGUGAUGCUGCUGUCAGAGAUCAGAGACCGCUGUGGCAGCCAACAGUCUUCACAACACAAAGUUAUUAAAAUGAACUCUCUGGCGUCCUGCCAUGAUCUGCGAGAAAGGGCCUCAGAGAAAGCGAAGUAGUAACACACUGAGUUCAUGAAAGUCCAUCCUGUCUUUGCUUCUUCUGGUCUGGUGUUCGAGCUCCCACUUGACGAGUUGCUGCUCGGAGAUCUCUUUUGCCAGCUGGUUCUUGGCUUCAUCCCUGCUCUGGACUGCGGCGUUUAUCUGUGUCAAAGAUCAAGUUAAUACAUACAACCAGAGGGAAUUUAAUACAGUUAUUGUAGUGUAAAUGUAACAUUUGCCAGGUGUCAUACAGCUAAUGCAGGGAGCUGCUGAUCUUUAAGAGUGUGGAGGCCACUGUGUCAACUACAGGCUGUGUUCCAGCCAACACAUAAUAAAGAUUUUUCAGUUUUUUAUAAACAUUCCAUUGAUAUUACCUGUAAAAAUAAAUAAAUCUAGAUUUAUAAAUUUUUAAUGAUCACUUGGAGGCAUUGGAAACAAUAUGUAAGUAACCAGAAUGUUUUAUCUUAUAAAGUUUAAAUGGCAAAUACCUUAGCAAACAUUUUCUAGCAGACACAGAGCAACAUGGGCUUUCAUUUGGAGGUCUAUUUGUGUCUACUUAAUGAAUUAAAGUCCAAUAUUAACUUUUCUCUUAGCUCUGUUUUCAUCUCCAAUGACUCAUCAAGGAAAUGUCUGACUGUCUAGCAGUGGUAUAAGAACUACGCAAGUUGUCUACUCAAGUAAAAGUCACAAUACAACACCGCAAAAACACUAUGUUACAAUUAAAAGUCCUGCAUACAAAAUAUUACUUAAGUAAAUACACAAGAGUAUUAGAAUCAAAAUAUACUUAAAGUACUAAAAGUACUUGCAAUGCAGAUCGGCACAUUGCACAUCAUAUUAGACUAUAAUUACUGAUGCAUUGUUGUGUUCAUCACUUUAAUGUUGCAGCUGGAAAAGGUGGAGCCAAAGUUACCUACUGUAUCUUAUACUUACAACUUAAAGUACUUC
Molecule: RNA transcript, 2832 nt
Organism: Monopterus albus (swamp eel)
Lineage: Eukaryota; Metazoa; Chordata; Actinopteri; Synbranchiformes; Synbranchidae
Gene: ttc8
Gene name: tetratricopeptide repeat domain 8
Exons: 16
Source: RefSeq, a predicted model, not a curated record